CUCUGAAAUACCCUGCCAGCUCUGGUUAAUCAUUACAGGCCAUGCCUGUGGAACAACAGACAAGCCCUUCCCAACACAGCUCCUUGUGGCUUCACCAAUGAGUCCUGUAUUUUGCGUGAGCCCCCAAGAUAUUUCUCCACGACUGUAUUUGAACUGCCAACCUGCAUUCAGAUCAAACAAUACCAGAGAUCUGAAAGCUCACUUGAAAAAACAUCGACCAAGGAAUUGUUCCUGUUAAACACAGCUGUCUUACAAAAACUCUGUGCACCUAGCUUCUCUGCUGCUCCUUCUUCUGUCAUACAAAGGAAUUAUGAGAAUUAACUCAAUAGCUGUGGAGUGCUUUGAAAGGUGAAAAUAAUGAAGUGUCAUUCUGCUUCGGGAGCCGCUCUUCCUAAUGAGAUAAAAGUUAAGGUGAGCUGACACAAUUUCUAAAAUAAAUGUCCACUUGUUACAGCAAAGAGAUUAAGGGGCUAAUAAUGCACAUGGCCUCAGAUGACCCCAACAGCAAAACGUUACCUAAAACUCAAGAGAAGGCAUAUAGAUUCUGGAAAUAAAGCAAACAAAAGAA
Molecule: long non-coding RNA, 568 nt
Organism: Passer domesticus (house sparrow)
Lineage: Eukaryota; Metazoa; Chordata; Aves; Passeriformes; Passeridae
Exons: 3
Source: RefSeq, a predicted model, not a curated record